AAUCAACGCUGGCGGCGUGCCUAACACAUGCAAGUCGCACGAGAAAGGGGAGCAAUCCCUGAGUAAAGUGGCGCACGGGUGAGUAACACGUGACUAACCUACCCUCGAGUGGGGAAUAACCUAAGAGAAAUCUGGGCUAAUACCGCAUAACACUUACGAGUCAAAGCAGCAAUGCGCGUUGAGGAGGGGGUCGCGGCAGAUUAGCUAGUUGGCGGGGUAAUGGCCCACCAAGGCAAUGAUCUGUAUCCGGCCUGAGAGGGCGCACGGACACACUGGAACUGAAACACGGUCCAGACUCCUACGGGAGGCAGCAGUGGGGAAUUUUGCGCAA
This 331-nucleotide ribosomal RNA is filed under the name uncultured bacterium. RNAcentral's name for it is "bacterial SSU rRNA". It matches the Rfam family "Bacterial small subunit ribosomal RNA", at positions 32 to 371 of the family's 1533-position model. The record is from RNAcentral.